GACGAACGCUGGCGGCGUGCUUAACACAUGCAAGUCGAACGGACAGGCCCUGCUCUUGUGGGUUGCUCGUGUGGCGAACGGGUGAGUAACACGUGAGUAAAAUGCACUUGUAUUUGGGAUAACUUUUGGAAACUCGGGCUCAUACCGGAUAGAAGAUAUUGCAGCAUGGUGGUGGUUGGAAAGAUUCGGCGGUUCGGGAUGGAUUAGAGGGUUAUCAGCUUGUUGGUGGGGUAGUGGCUUACCAAGGCUUUGACGGGUAGCCAGCCUGAGAGGGUGACCGGCGACAUUGGGACUAAGGUACGGCGCAGUCGGCUACCUGAGGCAACGGGGGAGAAUAUUACACAGUGGGCCGAAGCCUGAGACAGCAACGCCGCGUGCGGGAUGACGGGCUUCGAGGUGUAAACCGCUUUCUCCUUUGACGAGGCGGGAUUGACGGUAAUGAGUAAGGAAGCAACGGCUAACUACGUG
RNAcentral lists this ribosomal RNA (468 nucleotides) under uncultured bacterium. RNAcentral's name for it is "partial 16S ribosomal RNA". It matches the Rfam family "Bacterial small subunit ribosomal RNA", at positions 28 to 507 of the family's 1533-position model. The record is from RNAcentral.